AUGGAUGGAGAGAGAGAGAGUUCGGUUUGGGUUAUGGAUGGAGAGAGAGAGAGUACGGUUUGGGUUAUGGAUGGAGAGAGAGAGAGUACAGUUUGGGUUAUGGAUGGAGAGAGAGUACGGUUUGGGUUAUGGAUGGAGAGAGUACAGUUUGGGUUAUGGAUGGAGAGAGAGAGAGUACAGUUUGGGUUAUGGAUGGAGAGAGAGAGUACAGUUUGGGUUAUGGAUGGAGAGAGAGAGAGUACAAGAGUACAGUUUGGGUUAUGGAUGGAGAGAGAGAGUAUGGUUUGGGUUAUGGAUGGAGAGAGAGAGAGUAGAGUACAGUUUGGGUUAUGGAUGGAGAGAGAGAGUACGGUUUGGGUUAUGGAUAGAGAGAGAGAGAGUACGGUUUGGGUUAUGGAUGAGAGAGAGAGUACGGUUUGGGUUAUGGAUGGAGAGAGAGAGUACGGUUUGGG
This is a long non-coding RNA of Oncorhynchus tshawytscha (Chinook salmon), 452 nucleotides long. Lineage: Eukaryota; Metazoa; Chordata; Actinopteri; Salmoniformes; Salmonidae. The record is from Ensembl.